AAAACAUUUUUUUAUUUAUAUUUAUUAGCACCAAUAUUUAGCAACAAAUAAAAAAAUUAUUUUAACUCAAUGCUAUUCCAUUAAAAUUAAUUUAAAAAUAUAAAAACUUAAAUUUAAAUCUAAAAAAAUGAGGCAAUUACACAUAAAAUUUUGGACCAUCAAAUCAGCUUCUCUUUGUCCUAUCCCGGCAGACGAACCUUCAUAAUUAGUUCGGUUUGGCAUCCGCCGAAUCCAAGAAACGCAAAAGAUUAUGCAGACAAAUUCCUCCAUCAAAUCCCAUACACUGUGCAGACGUGGUCCACUUGCUCUUGGCUUAGCAACGUAAGCUCUUGCGUCACCAACUAGAAAAGCUAGCUUUCUGUUUCUCUAACUGCUC
RNAcentral lists this unclassified non-coding RNA (376 nucleotides) under Hevea brasiliensis (rubber tree). The record is from RNAcentral. Lineage: Eukaryota; Viridiplantae; Streptophyta; Magnoliopsida; Malpighiales; Euphorbiaceae.